GAAUGGGACCAGUCUCGCUUGAUCUCUUCAGCUAAGCAGGUUCAGGAUUGGUUAGUCCUUGAAUGGGAGACUGCCAGUGAAUACUCAGUGCUACAGUCA
RNAcentral lists this ribosomal RNA (99 nucleotides) under Phascolarctos cinereus (koala). Lineage: Eukaryota; Metazoa; Chordata; Mammalia; Diprotodontia; Phascolarctidae. The record is from RNAcentral.